This 378-nucleotide ribosomal RNA is filed under the name Escherichia coli. RNAcentral describes it as "bacterial SSU rRNA". It matches the Rfam family "Bacterial small subunit ribosomal RNA", at positions 1149 to 1526 of the family's 1533-position model. RNAcentral also lists the same sequence under 4 other names. The record is from RNAcentral. Lineage: Bacteria; Pseudomonadati; Pseudomonadota; Gammaproteobacteria; Enterobacterales; Enterobacteriaceae.
CUGCCAGUGAUAAACUGGAGGAAGGUGGGGAUGACGUCAAGUCAUCAUGGCCCUUACGACCAGGGCUACACACGUGCUACAAUGGCGCAUACAAAGAGAAGCGACCUCGCGAGAGCAAGCGGACCUCAUAAAGUGCGUCGUAGUCCGGAUUGGAGUCUGCAACUCGACUCCAUGAAGUCGGAAUCGCUAGUAAUCGUGGAUCAGAAUGCCACGGUGAAUACGUUCCCGGGCCUUGUACACACCGCCCGUCACACCAUGGGAGUGGGUUGCAAAAGAAGUAGGUAGCUUAACCUUCGGGAGGGCGCUUACCACUUUGUGAUUCAUGACUGGGGUGAAGUCGUAACAAGGUAACCGUAGGGGAACCUGCGGUUGGAUCAC